AUUGAACGCUGGCGGCAUGCUUUACACAUGCAAGUCGAACGGCAGCGCGGGCUUCUGCCUGGCGGCGAGUGGCGAACGGGUGAGUAAUACAUCGGAACGUGCCCAGUAGUGGGGGAUAGCUCGGCGAAAGCCGGAUUAAUACCGCAUACGACCUGAGGGUGAAAGCGGGGGAUCUUCGGACCUCGCGCUAUUGGAGCGGCCGAUGGCAGAUUAGCGAGUUGGUGGGGUAAAGGCCUACCAAGGCGACGAUCUGUAGCUGGUCUGAGAGGACGACCAGCCACACUGGGACUGAGACACGGCCCAGACUCCUACGGGAGGCAGCAGUGGGGAAUUUUGGACAAUGGGCGAAAGCCUGAUCGAGCAAUGCCGCGUGUGUGAUGAAGGCCUUCGGGUUGUAAAGCACUUUUGGCGGGAACGAAAAGGACUGUGCCAAUACCACGGUUCGAUGACGGUACCCGCAGAAUAAGCAACGGCUAACUACGUG
Molecule: ribosomal RNA, 484 nt
Filed under: uncultured bacterium
Lineage: Bacteria
Description: partial 16S ribosomal RNA
Rfam family: Bacterial small subunit ribosomal RNA
Source: RNAcentral